AUUGAACGCUGGCGGCAUGCUUUACACAUGCAAGUCGAACGGCAGCGCGGGGGCAACCCUGGCGGCGAGUGGCGAACGGGUGAGUAAUGCAUCGGAACGUAUCCUGUAAUGGGGGAUAACGUAGCGAAAGUUACGCUAAUACCGCAUACGCUCGAGAGAGGAAAGUGGGGGAUCGCAAGACCUCACGUUAUAGGAGCGGCCGAUGUCCGAUUAGCUAGUUGGUGGGGUAAAGGCCUACCAAGGCGACGAUCGGUAGCUGGUCUGAGAGGAUGAUCAGCCACACUGGGACUGAGACACGGCCCAGACUCCUACGGGAGGCAGCAGUGGGGAAUUUUGGACAAUGGGCGAAAGCCUGAUCCAGCCAUGCCGCGUGCGGGAAGAAGGCCUUCGGGUUGUAAACCGCUUUAGUCCGGGAAAAAGGGGUGCGAGGUUAAUACCCUCGUG
This 444-nucleotide ribosomal RNA is filed under the name uncultured Pseudomonadota bacterium. Its description in RNAcentral is "bacterial SSU rRNA". It matches the Rfam family "Bacterial small subunit ribosomal RNA", at positions 29 to 474 of the family's 1533-position model. Lineage: Bacteria; Pseudomonadati; Pseudomonadota. The record is from RNAcentral.